UACGAGGGGGGCAAAUGUUGUUCGGAUUCACUGGGCGUAAAGGGUGCGCAGGCGGCCGUGUGUGUGAGGCGUGAAAGCCCGGGGCUUAACCCCGGAAUUGCACCUCAAACUACAUGGCUAGAGCAUUGGAGAGGGUAGCAGAAUUCAUGGUGUAGCAGUGAAAUGCGUAGAUAUCAUGAGGAAUACCAGAGGCGAAGGCGGCUACCUGGACAAUUGCUGACGCUCAGGCACGAAAGCGUGGGGAGCAAAAGGG
RNAcentral lists this ribosomal RNA (253 nucleotides) under uncultured bacterium. RNAcentral describes it as "partial 16S ribosomal RNA". It matches the Rfam family "Bacterial small subunit ribosomal RNA", at positions 524 to 776 of the family's 1533-position model. The record is from RNAcentral.